Molecule: ribosomal RNA, 155 nt
Filed under: uncultured Escherichia sp.
Lineage: Bacteria; Pseudomonadati; Pseudomonadota; Gammaproteobacteria; Enterobacterales; Enterobacteriaceae
Description: partial 16S ribosomal RNA
Rfam family: Bacterial small subunit ribosomal RNA
Source: RNAcentral
UGGGGAAUAUUGCACAAUGGGCGCAAGCCUGAUGCAGCCAUGCCGCGUGUAUGAAGAAGGCCUUCGGGUUGUAAAGUACUUUCAGCGGGGAGGAAGGCGAUACGGUUAAUAACCGUGUCGAUUGACGUUACCCGCAGAAGAAGCACCGGCUAACU